ACUUGGUAGGAUCCGAUAACUAGCCCUCAUAAGACACAUACAUUUGAUACCUCAGCAUUCCUUAACAGUAAAUUGUCUGUUGUCGGAAGCAGAUUGGAUAUCAUCUUCUAGAAGAAGAGUUUCACCUUUGGGGGGAUUUUCAACCUCCAUAUCUUUGACCAUUCAUUAAAACCAGAGGAAGAGGAUGACAGACUAGUAAGAGAUUGCAAAUUGUGAGAAUGGAUCCAAUGGUAUGCACUUUUGACAGUAAAUUACCCAUUUCGAGUACCAUUCCAGAAUAAAACAUUUACUGGAUUUCUAUGGUUGAGUGGCAACUCCAAUAUCUGUUGAGCCUGAUCUGGAUUGAAAAUUGAAUUAAUAAGCUGUCUAUUCCACCUGCCAUCUGUCAUCAAAGCAUCAACUGUCGACCCUUGAUCCAGCCCUUGAAUGGGACUCAGAAUUAAUCCACCAGGCUGCUUGGGAAGCCAACGAUCACCCCAAAUACGAACAGUUGUAGCAUUUCCUAUUCUCCACUGAAGACCCUCCAUGCGUUCAUCCCUAAAGCAAAUAAUACUCCGCCAUAUGAAGCUAGGUCAAAACCCCACUUUAGCCUUAAGAACAUCUUGACGAAGAAAAUAACAUGCUUUAAGAAUCUUAUUGGCAAGAGAACUAGGACACUGAACAAGACGCCACACAUUUUCGAACAGCACAGCUAAGUUAAAAUCAUGGAGAGAACGAAACCCCAAA
This 726-nucleotide unclassified non-coding RNA is filed under the name Hevea brasiliensis (rubber tree). The record is from RNAcentral. Lineage: Eukaryota; Viridiplantae; Streptophyta; Magnoliopsida; Malpighiales; Euphorbiaceae.